RNAcentral lists this ribosomal RNA (480 nucleotides) under Peptostreptococcus sp. canine oral taxon 033. RNAcentral's name for it is "bacterial SSU rRNA". It matches the Rfam family "Bacterial small subunit ribosomal RNA", at positions 9 to 454 of the family's 1533-position model. Lineage: Bacteria; Bacillati; Bacillota; Clostridia; Peptostreptococcales; Peptostreptococcaceae. The record is from RNAcentral.
GAGUUUGAUUCUGGCUCAGGAUGAACGCUGGCGGCGUGCCUAACACAUGCAAGUCGAGCGCGGUUGUGCUUAGUAUUGAGUGUUUUAUUGAUAUAAAACAUUGAAUUCUAUGCACAACUGAGCGGCGGACGGGUGAGUAACGCGUGGGUAACCUGCCCUAUACACAUGGAUAACAUACUGAAAAGUUUACUAAUACAUGAUAAAAUAGUUUUUCGGCAUCGAAGAAUUAUCAAAGUGUUAGCGGUAUAGGAUGGACCCGCGUCUGAUUAGCUAGUUGGUGAGAUAACUGCCCACCAAGGCGACGAUCAGUAGCCGACCUGAGAGGGUGAUCGGCCACAUUGGAACUGAGACACGGUCCAAACUCCUACGGGAGGCAGCAGUGGGGAAUAUUGCACAAUGGGCGCAAGCCUGAUGCAGCAACGCCGCGUGAACGAUGAAGGUCUUCGGAUCGUAAAGUUCUGUUGCAGGGGAAGAUAAUGA